This 446-nucleotide ribosomal RNA is filed under the name uncultured bacterium. Its description in RNAcentral is "bacterial SSU rRNA". It matches the Rfam family "Bacterial small subunit ribosomal RNA", at positions 330 to 793 of the family's 1533-position model. The record is from RNAcentral.
UCCAGACUCCUACGGGAGGCAGCAGUGGGGAAUAUUGCACAAUGGGGGAAACCCUGAUGCAGCAACGCCGCGUGAGUGAAGAAGUAUUUCGGUAUGUAAAGCUCUAUCAGCAGGGAAGAAAAUGACGGUACCUGAGUAAGAAGCCCCGGCUAACUACGUGCCAGCAGCCGCGGUAAUACGUAGGGGGCAAGCGUUAUCCGGAUUUACUGGGUGUAAAGGGAGCGUAGACGGCGAUGCAAGUCUGAAGUGAAAGCCCGGGGCUCAACCCCGGGACUGCUUUGGAAACUGUAUGGCUGGAGUACUGGAGAGGCAAGCGGAAUUCCUAGUGUAGCGGUGAAAUGCGUAGAUAUUAGGAAGAACACCAGUGGCGAAGGCGGCUUGCUGGGCAGUAACUGACGUUGAGGCUCGAAAGCGUGGGGAGCAAACAGGAUUAGAUACCCCUGUAC